UGCAGUCGUACGGGGGUUUUUAACUCAAGUGGCGGACGGGUGAGUAACACGUAAGAAUUUGCCUUUAGGAGGGGGAUAACAACUGGAAACGGUUGCUAAUACCCCAUAUGCUUUAGAGUGAAACGGAUUUUUCCGCCUAAAGAGAAGCUUGCGGCUGAUUAGCUUGUUGGUAAGGUAAUGGCUUACCAAGGCGACGAUCAGUAUCUGGUUUGAGAGGACGAUCAGACACACUGGAACUGAGACACGGUCCAGACUCCUACGGGAGGCAGCAGUGGGGAAUUUUCCGCAAUGGGCGAAAGCCUGACGGAGCAAUACCGCGUGAGGGAUGACUGCCUAUGGGUUGUAAACCUCUUUUUUCAGGGAGGAAUAAAUGACGUGUACCUGAAGAAUAAGCAUCGGCUAACUCCGUGCCAGCAGCCGCGGUAAGACGGAGGAUGCAAGUGUUAUCCGGAAUCACUGGGCGUAAAGCGUCUGUAGGUGGCUCGACAAGUCAACUGUUAAAUCUUGAAGCUCAACUUCAAAAUCGCAGUCGAAACUAUCGGACUAGAGUAUAGUAGAGGUAAAGGGAAUUUCCAGUGGAGCGGUGAAAUGCGUAGAGAUUGGAAAGAACACCGAUGGCGAAGGCACUUUACUGGGCUAUUACUGACACUCAGAGACGAAAGCUAGGGUAGCAAAUGGGAUUAGAUACCCCAGUAUAA
This 698-nucleotide ribosomal RNA is filed under the name uncultured bacterium. RNAcentral's name for it is "bacterial SSU rRNA". It matches the Rfam family "Bacterial small subunit ribosomal RNA", at positions 56 to 793 of the family's 1533-position model. The record is from RNAcentral.